Struthio camelus australis is the source of this 6053-nucleotide non-coding RNA. The record is from RefSeq and is a predicted model, not a curated record. Lineage: Eukaryota; Metazoa; Chordata; Aves; Struthioniformes; Struthionidae.
CAGCGGGUCGGCCGAUUGCAGCGCUUCCUCUGCCAGCAGGAACUGCCAAAUUUUGUUUCCCUGUGCUGCAGUGGAGCCCUGGUUCUCAGCUAAACUGGAGGGGUGUUUUGUGUUAGGGGUGUGGAAGCGUGUGGGGAGAGGCAGUUCCUCGGCCGGAUUGUUUAUGUGCUAAACAGACGGGAGAGAGGAAGCGGGUGCGCAGCGAAGCGGCUGGGUCUGCGUGGUUUGGGGCCAGGGUGCCUGUCGCUGCUCGAGGUCAGCAGAGCAGUUAGGAGUCUGCGAGUCAGCGAUUGGCAGAGCAGGUUUGGGCUCCCGGCAGCAGCAAGGCUGGCUAGAAAAGUGUAAAAGCUAUUUUGUUUCUAUAUAUUUUGGAAAGGUCAUAUCUAUAUGCAGUGAGAAAGGCGUAAAUCUUACAUUGUGAAUUUAGGUACUCUGGCCCCUUUUUAAUGUAAUGCUUCCCUAGCGUCUAAAAACAGUGCCAAUAAAGUUAUUGGCAAACCAAUGUGGCUUUAUUAAGAAGAUUUGCAACUUAAUUUAGCUUUUUAAAAUCUUUCAAAGGAAAUCCUAGCCUCUGAACAAUGAAGAUCUUAGACCCUGGGUAACUCUAUGCGAAUCUGCACAUUGCUCUGCUGAAACAGAUGCUGAAGUUCUUUAGAAGGAUCUUCUUGAUUCAGACAAAGUGCCUGCGUGAGAACAGAGAAAGCUCCCAACUAUACUGUGCCUGAGCGGUGAGCCAUGCUGGGCCGAAAAACAGGACUCCCCCAAAACCUAAACAGCCACCACCGGAUGAACCAGUCCUACCAGGAGGCUGUGCCCCUGCGGAGCAGACCAUCCAAGGAAAGUGAUGUCAGUCUGGAGGUGUUCAGCGGCUCUACGCCCGAAAUCACACAGAGCCGCAACAGAGCCCAGCAAAUGCGGGACAGGAAAGGUCGCAAAGCUGACCUCAAAGACUCUAAUGGGAGAGAGGCAGAAACAAUUACCUUCAUCUCUGGUACAGCAGAGGCUCCCCAAACUCAGAGCUCGUGCUGUUCCUCUCUGUCUCAGGCCUGGAACACAUACAAGGCUGUUUUCUGUUGUAUAGUGACCUGUGGGGGCUGCUUUCAGGACUGCAGUGUCUGUAUCACGUAUCCAGGGCCUGCUGAGACCUCCACUGAAGACGGAAAGAAUGGAGAUUAUAAUGGGCGACUGCCAAACAGCCCUGCCAACAUCUCUCCCACUGAGAAGAAUGGGAACCAGAUCAAAAAGACCAGCAUGGGUAGCAGUUUCAGUUACCCAGAUGUGAAACUAAAGGGUAUUCCUGUCUAUCAAAACAGGAGCCCCAGCCACCAUCUGGAUUCAGAUUCAUGCUGCAAAGAGCUGCUGCCAGAUAAGCCCUUAAGGAAUAGCAUAGAAAAGCCACCGCUCCCCAGCAGCCACCGCAGUUCGGAGGAGUAUUACUCAUUCCACGAGUCCGACCUGGACAUCAGUGAGCUGAAUGGCUCCAUGUCCAGCAGGGAGAUUGAUGUCCUGAUCUUCAAGAAACUCACAGAGCUCUUCAGUGUCCACCAGAUUGAUGAGCUGGCCAAAUGCACGUCAGACACUGUCUUCCUGGAGAAGACCAACAAGAUCUCGGACCUCAUCAACAGCAUAACUCAGGACUACAACUUGGAUGAGCAGGAUGCUGAAUGCAGGCUGGUCCGAGGCAUCAUACGCAUCAGCACCCGGAAAAGCAGGGUCCGGCCCCAUAUUUCUAUCCCAGCCAGCCAGAGCCACGAGAAGUCCAGCAGAGGCAACCCACCGGACAGUGGUAAUGAAACCAUGCUGGAGUCCAUGGUCAUCAGCCAAGAUGACUUGGCUGUGCAAAUAUCGGAGGAAACGCCAGCAGAUGUGAUAGCCAGGAAUAUGAGGCGGCAUAGCAGUGCAGGAUCUCCAACGAGCAGAGAUUCCUCUUUCCAAGACACAGAGACUGACUCAUCUGGGGCACCUCUGCUUCAGGUGUAUUGUUAAGGAAAAGGACCCGAGUAGGAUGCAGGCGUUACAAGGCCUUGCAGCAAUCCGAUUUCUACCCUUUCAAUACAGAGCAUGCUAUGCCACUUUAUUUUUUUUUUUCCAAUCUACUCUUAUCCUUUGCUGAAGCCAAUCUUCUCUUGUCCGAGUUGCAUUGGUUUUUUUGGACAUCGAACAUCAAGGAAAUGAAUUGGGGAUCUAAUGAGAUUGGAAGGUGGACUGUGUGCCCUGGGAGGAGAAGACGAACAAGGAAGUACUGGAUAUCUUGCGCCUCUCUGUUUUAUUUCCAUUCUUGGUGUUUAGCUUCAACGACCUCAGUGGCCCAGCCCUUUCCCUGCUUUGAUAAUCUGCUGUACAGUUCUUGCUUUUUGGCAUUGCGUAAGUUAAGUUGGGGAGUGAAUAAUCAUGUGGUGUCUCUGUCACAAUGCUGAGGUGAAAGCCGAGGUGUUAGCAGCACCCUGCUCUCUAGGGACCCAGACUUAAAAUUGCUGUCUUGGUAGUCCUGGAAAUGUAAGUCCUCUAUCCGUGGUAUUUACAGUAGCUGGAUAUGCUCUCUUCCUGCUGGCCUUUAGUGGUGUCAUCUCCUGCCGCCUCAGAAGGAGAAGGCUGUUAAUGCAGUUCAUGUAUUCUUUGGCCUCUUGGCACAUCUCCCGAGAUAGUCAAUCAGUGCCAAUUCCAGGGGGGACGAGAUGCCUGGACUGCUGCCCAGCUCCUGUCCCCUAGUUACCAAACAGACUAUGGAGAUCAGCUUUGUGGUCGCUGCCAAUCUGAUGUGAACUACCAGCAUGAGGUAUUAAAAAAUUGCAAGUGUUGAUCUGCGACUUGUGUGCCAGUCAGCUCUUCCUCACUCAUCCGCCAGGCCCUCUGCAUUUCCCCAUUGUGCUUGAUUUCACACUGACUGCUGGGGAGAGCCUUGAACUCGGGUUGUGGCAGCAGGUAACCUCUGCUGCAGUCGUGGAAGAGAGAGACGUGCUUCUCGGAAGGAUCUGAAACCCAUGAACAGUGUGGCUUAGAAGUUAGAAAACAGAUGGAUUUACCCUAAAUUCUUGUAUAGCCUGGUCCUUAGAAGCUUGCAGCAGUAGCAGAGGAGCUGUGGCGUCUGUUGAAAGUAAGCAGUAAUGGUAAACAUCAAGUACCUGUUUCCUUCUUUGGGGUUUUGCUAUUUCAAGCUUUUCUCAAAGUAGUCUUGCAGCCUAGGCCAUUUCCCAAAUGAUCUGAGCUGCAACAUUCAUUAAUAUAAGCUAAGCCAACAGCUGGUGUUAGAAGAUGAGGAGAAGCUUUUAAGCAUGAGGAAAGCCCUCCGCAGAGCCUGCAUGCCUUUGAGGCUUGGUUUUUGAAAGAUGUGAGAAAGGGGAGUUGGGAUUUCUUAGGCAAGGUGCCCCUUCCAAGGGCCACCUCCGCAAGGCCCCGUGACACUGCUGGGAGCCCAGCAGCGCUUGGGGAGCCCGAGGCCUCUCCCUCAGCUUUAACCCUCCUGUUCCUGCUCGGAGCUGUGGGUUGUGGGGAAGGCGGGCCCCCUUCCCCAGCCCGGCUGCGUGCUGCAGUAUGAGCGAGUGGCCUCACUCAGGGGUGAUCUCCGAAGCCAGCACCCAUGGCUCCCUCGCAUUGACUGUGCUUGGGGUGAGACCUGAUGGAGCCAGGUGGCGUGGCAGACCUCAGGUGUGCUGGCAGCCUCUGCUCCGGAGGGUGGCAGCACUGGAACAGCUUCUCCAGAUGAUUUGAAAGAGGUGUGGAAAGGCGAACGCCCCUUCAUCUCAUACCACCCUAGUUCGGAGCCCUCCUCUGACUGUCAGGGCUUGGGCAGGGGGACAUUUGCUAGGAAUCAAGACACAGAAGCUUUUGUAAGACUUGGCUCCCAAUGUCUCUCGUGGUAUCCUGAGUUUUCCUGCCUUAAUCACAGAUUAAAAAGGCCACUGGUCAUACCGAGUUAGGGUAUUUGCGAUUUGUAAGUCGCUUUUGGAGCAACUGGGACCAGAGCCCUGCUACCCUCGCGUAGCUUGUUCCAGGAGGAAGCUGCCUUUUGGAAGCAAAAGGGUGGGUUUGAUUCAGCUCGGCCCAGAGAAAGUCAAUGACAGCUGGGUAGUUUGCACAGGACAAGGCCGGCAGGAGAAACACCUUCUGUUCCGCUGGCCGGAAGGGUCGAAGUCCAGGGGUAGUGCUCAGGUCAACUGCAGUUCACAAACACAGCCCAGGACAUUCACCUGGCUUACAGUUGAGAGCUGAAAUCAUGGCCCAGUUCUCCUAGGAGUGUUUGUUUGCUUUUUUUCUCUUUACCUCCUUGAAAGACUCCUUCUCCCCUGCAAAAAUCCUCCCCCAAGUUUCCUCUGAGGGGCCUGCCGCUGCCUUGUCUCUCUCUUCCCUUAGCCUGCUCUGCUGCUGCUACCCAGCGUGCAGUCCAGGGCCCUCACCCACAGCCCCCUGCAAGUGAAGCUAACAAGAAGGAAGACUUGUGCCACCCUGAACUGGAAAACUUGGGAAUUUCAAAGUCACAACUACACUGACCACCACCGUAUGGUCAUGCGUGCUAAGACCCCGCGGGGCAGAGGACAAGAACAGCUGCAGAGAUUUCGGUUUGGGCAGUCAAAACUCAAGGGCGCUCUGUGUUUCCAGUGGGCAGCAUAGCUCUGCCUAACAGUGAGUCGGCGUUCAAGCAGCUAAUCCCACAGCUGCUGCUGUUGUGAGUGACCCUGGCUGGGACCUGCAUCACCAGAUCCAGGCGACCGCUGGUGAUCUGCCUUUAGAUUUGGCCUGAGCUUUCGCUUGAUCAGGCCAGACUCAGGGUUCCCAGUGUUGGUUAGAUGGGAAUGAGGUGGUAACGGGAAAGUAACAAAGCCACGGUUUGGGCUUGGGGUGGUGCCGUGAACUGUGCAGGUUUACAACCAGUCCCUCUUUGGUGCCCUGGUGCCUGUCUGGGCUUGCUCCUUGGGAGGGGCUGGAGGCCAGAUGCAGAUCCCGCUGCAGGUGCAGAGCCCAACCCCAUCUCUCUUGCUGUUCUGCCAACUCCAAGGAGCACCGGAGGUGCGCGCUCCGGCCUCCCCUUGCCAACACGCACCUGAGCAGGGGGUGAUGCUUGCCCGCUGUUGUUUUAUCAGUGCCAAAGCACAGAAGGGCAACACCUGCAGGGUUAACUGUAAGAUUAUCAGGCAGGAGGAACAACAGAGCUCCUUUCAGACCCCUGCUGCAAAGCACAGCAGCCCAAGGCAGCUACCCAGAUGCCCACAAGGUCACUGCUCAUCUGGGUGGCUGCUGCUUUUUGAGCCAGAGGGCCUGUAAAACUGGGAGGCUAAAUAUGAACAGUGUCCUACUACUCAAAAAAUAAAAACAACAACAAAAAAAAAAAGUACAGGGCCAUGACAGACUUUGCUCACGUCAGGUUUUUUUUUCAGCUGUUUAUGCCCACUUCUUCUGGUAGGAGGUGGAAACAUCUUGGGGGGCAGAGGUGAGAACUAACCACAGCAAAAGGAUUUUGGAUAGCCUGUGAAGCACCGAUGGGAGCCCAGGCUUUUGGGACCCAUCGGAUACAGACUCUUUUCCUUAUUAGCUUGUCAUAAAGCAGACCUGGGGCAAGGGUGGCUUCCUCAGUGUCAGCACACGCUGCUACAUGGAGAGCGGAGCCUGGAGCAACAGACCUUGGUCAUCGCAGACAAAGCGUGUGAGCUGGGUCUGGAAUUAGUCAGCACUUCUGAGCGAGAGACACUCAGUUCUAGCUGCCCCUCCUUAGCUGAGGAGCGUUCGACCACAGCAGGAAGCCUGAGAGGUCUUUACCAGCAGCUAUAGAGCACGACCCCCAGCCCCUGCCAGGCAGGCCCCUAGGCACUGUCGUUCACAGGCACUACCCCCUUCCAGGUCCCAUCCAAGCCUGCACAGGCCGCUUGGAGCUCUUCUGCAGGAGAAAUCACACGCUCUACCUGGAAAUAUGCCAUUUUUUUUCUUUAUGUUGCACUGCAGUUUUAACAAAGAUAUGAACAUGCAGAGUAAUGCCACUCGUCAGCAGGAGCUCUGAGAAUGCAGCGACAUCUGUCAGUAGUCAGCAGGGAGAGAGGCUCUCGGAAAAGAGGCAGGAGACA